Long non-coding RNA from Temnothorax curvispinosus, 478 nucleotides. RefSeq lists it as uncharacterized. The transcript has 2 exons. Lineage: Eukaryota; Metazoa; Arthropoda; Insecta; Hymenoptera; Formicidae. The record is from RefSeq and is a predicted model, not a curated record.
CUCUUACGUGGGGCAAACGAAGCGACAACUGAAAACAAGAAUCAACGAACACAAAAACAAUUAUAAAUUGGACCCAUCCAGACAUUCAGUCAUUACAGAACAUAUACUUAAUUUGAAUCAUAGUUUUAAUUGGAACAACCCGGAGAUUUUAGAUUUUGAAACGAAUUACUACAAGAGACUAAUAUCAGAGAUGAUACACAUCAAAGAACAAAAAAAUGGUAUUAAUUCUAAUAAAGACACUGAAUUGCUGGAUGGUUCUUAUUUUAACAUCCUAAACGAACUUAGUAACAACUCAUAGGGAGUUAAACAUUGGUCUAUUUACAUCAUUGUUGUCAACCGAUUCCGACACGGAACGAAAAUGCUCAGUCACACACAAGAUUCGACACGAUACAGUUCUUUCUGAAAACUUUACUAACUUGAAUUUGCUAUGGUCUCAUUUACACUUUCAUCGUAAUUAUUGACUCUUGAUUGUGACGGA